This 1572-nucleotide ribosomal RNA is filed under the name Triticum aestivum (bread wheat). RNAcentral describes it as "partial small subunit ribosomal RNA". Lineage: Eukaryota; Viridiplantae; Streptophyta; Magnoliopsida; Poales; Poaceae. The record is from RNAcentral.
AUGCAUAAUGGGAAAGACGGGAAAUCGGCUACUGAGAUUCUGGAUUUUCAGUAUAUUCGGCCAGCACGUGCCAUCACCCGUAUUGACUCAAAGUACAGAUUUUCUCCUUCUUGUCAUGUUGAGGUCCUUCAUGAAGAUAGCUGGUGGCCUGGUGUUAUCCUGAAUGUCUUAGGCACCAGAACCGACAAGAAGUAUGUGGUAAUGUUGGAUUGUCACAAGACAGAUCUGGAUGACAUCGACCAUAUGGAUAUGCUGAGGGUUGAAAUUACGCAGCUCAGGCCACUGUGUGACUGGGACGGUGAAAAAUGGGUACCCUGCUUGAAGAAGGAAUCUGCUAACGGACCUGAAUCAACUUCUCCAAAAAGGCCGGCUGCCUUGUAUAAUGACUCUGAUAAAAUUAGUGAUGAACCUGGUUCUCAUCGUGACAAAAAGAAGUUGAAGAAUGCAGAUGUGGUGCCAGAACAAAUUUCUCCUCCAUCUGUUGGUAAAGAAAACAUUGAAAUUACUCGUAAGCAGGGAAAUGCAGUAUUGGCACCAAGAUCUGAGUUGUCACCUCCUUCGCUGCCACCAAUGGCAUCAUUUGGCCGUCUGAGUUCUUCAUCUUCACCUGCUACAAGCUGUCAUCUUGCACAAUCAUCUUCUCACAUUCAGGCUUCAUUGUUUGGAGCGUUUGGACAAUCAAGGCCUAUUCCACAGGGCCUGCCAUUAGGAACGCAAUCGCUUAUUAGCUCAUGUUUUACCGGUAUUAAAGGGUCAAAAAAAGUAUUAAGCGAUCAGGAUAAGCAGUCAACUGCUGGAACUGGGACUGUACUGUUCAGACAAAUGAAGCCAAUGGAAAGGAUAGAUGCUAAAGCCAUUGAAGAAGGCAGCAACGUUGUCUCUGUUUCUGAAGACCGUUCACAAUCACACCAAGGUAAUGGAACACAUGAUUCUUGCUGUCCCUUGCCUGCGGAAUCUGUGGCUGUGCAUGAGAGUAUCAUGCACACGAGUGGCCAGCUUUCAGAAUCCUCAGCAAUCCAGCAGCUUCCAAUUGUGAAGACCUCCCCAUUGUGGGCACAGCUUGAGGCACUGGAAAUAUUCAGGACAAUGCCACAGCGGCCAAAUCUCCAUCAGUUUCAGCAGCACGUUCCGGAGCUCCAUGAAGGACUGGCACUAGGUCUGAUGAUCUCUUUUGCUAGUCUGGCAGAAAGCAUAAACAGGCUGGGUGUUGAGGACGACAACGAGCUGCUCGAGCGGAAGAUGAAUUGCCUGGCUUAUCUCGAGGCAAGUGGUUUCGACGUCGGGGACCUGAGAUCGCGCGUGGAAGCUUUACUUCACAUGAAGAAUAGCCGUGCCGAAGUACCGGACGCUUUGAAAAAGCUGGAGGAGGAGAUUGCUCGCGAAGAAGCCGACGACCAAGAACUGGGCACGCAACUUCGCGCCCUGGCUAUGGCUGUCCGUCACCUUGAACUAGAUGCCUAUCUUGUGCGCAACGUAAUAAGGUCUACCGUCGCACGGAGGAUGAACAAUGCCAUGGAGAUCUCGAGGCUCAAGGCGGAAGCGAACAAUCUGUCCUCCGCCGUGCCGCGGUGA